GCGGGGCUGCCCGGUGCGUCAGGCAAGUAACCCCCAGGGCCAAUAAGCAUCUCCCGGGAACUGGCGCUGGUCGGAUCCUGGUCCGAUUAUCUGGUGCCCACCUGCAUUAGCAGGCCUUGGGAGGGUUCGAGACCAACGGCCAUGGUGGCUCCGCA
RNAcentral lists this non-coding RNA (155 nucleotides) under Plastoroseomonas arctica. RNAcentral describes it as "6S RNA". It matches the Rfam family "6S / SsrS RNA". From Rfam's summary of the family: E. coli 6S RNA was the first non coding RNA to be sequenced, but its function was unknown until recently. It consists of 184 nucleotides that fold into an extended hairpin structure with a large single-stranded internal bulge. Lineage: Bacteria; Pseudomonadati; Pseudomonadota; Alphaproteobacteria; Acetobacterales; Acetobacteraceae. The record is from RNAcentral.